Molecule: ribosomal RNA, 2927 nt
Filed under: Salmonella enterica subsp. enterica serovar Senftenberg str. CFSAN004025
Lineage: Bacteria; Pseudomonadati; Pseudomonadota; Gammaproteobacteria; Enterobacterales; Enterobacteriaceae
Description: 23S ribosomal RNA
Rfam family: Bacterial large subunit ribosomal RNA
Source: RNAcentral
GGGUUGUGAGGUUAAGCGACUAAGCGUACACGGUGGAUGCCCUGGCAGUCAGAGGCGAUGAAGGGCGUGCUAAUCUGCGAUAAGCGCCGGUAAGGUGAUAUGAACCGUUAUAACCGGCGAUACCCGAAUGGGGAAACCCAGUGUGAUUCGUCACACUAUCAUUAACUGAAUCCAUAGGUUAAUGAGGCGAACCGGGGGAACUGAAACAUCUAAGUACCCCGAGGAAAAGAAAUCAACCGAGAUUCCCCCAGUAGCGGCGAGCGGAACGGGGAGGAGCCCAGAGCCUGAAUCAGCAUGUGUGUUAGUGGAAGCGUCUGGAAAGGCGCGCGAUACAGGGUGACAGCCCCGUACACAAAAGCGCAUAUGCUGUGAGCUCGAUGAGUAGGGCGGGACACGUGGUAUCCUGUCUGAAUAUGGGGGGACCAUCCUCCAAGGCUAAAUACUCCUGACUGACCGAUAGUGAACCAGUACCGUGAGGGAAAGGCGAAAAGAACCCCGGCGAGGGGAGUGAAAAAGAACCUGAAACCGUGUACGUACAAGCAGUGGGAGCACAGGUUUACCUGUGUGACUGCGUACCUUUUGUAUAAUGGGUCAGCGACUUAUAUUCUGUAGCAAGGUUAACCGUAUAGGGGAGCCGUAGGGAAACCGAGUCUUAAUUGGGCGUUAAGUUGCAGGGUAUAGACCCGAAACCCGGUGAUCUAGCCAUGGGCAGGUUGAAGGUUGGGUAACACUAACUGGAGGACCGAACCGACUAAUGUUGAAAAAUUAGCGGAUGACCUGUGGCUGGGGGUGAAAGGCCAAUCAAACCGGGAGAUAGCUGGUUCUCCCCGAAAGCUAUUUAGGUAGCGCCUCGUGAAUUCAUCUCCGGGGGUAGAGCACUGUUUCGGCUAGGGGGCCAUCCCGGCUUACCAACCCGAUGCAAACUGCGAAUACCGGAGAAUGUUAUCACGGGAGACACACGGCGGGUGCUAACGUCCGUCGUGAAGAGGGAAACAACCCAGACCGCCAGCUAAGGUCCCAAAGUCAUGGUUAAGUGGGAAACGAUGUGGGAAGGCCCAGACAGCCAGGAUGUUGGCUUAGAAGCAGCCAUCAUUUAAAGAAAGCGUAAUAGCUCACUGGUCGAGUCGGCCUGCGCGGAAGAUGUAACGGGGCUAAACCAUGCACCGAAGCUGCGGCAGCGACACUGUGUGUUGUUGGGUAGGGGAGCGUUCUGUAAGCCUGUGAAGGUGGCCUGUGAGGGUUGCUGGAGGUAUCAGAAGUGCGAAUGCUGACAUAAGUAACGAUAAAGCGGGUGAAAAGCCCGCUCGCCGGAAGACCAAGGGUUCCUGUCCAACGUUAAUCGGGGCAGGGUGAGUCGACCCCUAAGGCGAGGCCGAAAGGCGUAGUCGAUGGGAAACGGGUUAAUAUUCCCGUACUUGGUGUUACUGCGAAGGGGGGACGGAGAAGGCUAUGUUGGCCGGGCGACGGUUGUCCCGGUUUAAGCGUGUAGGCUGGUUUUCCAGGCAAAUCCGGAAAAUCAAGGCUGAGGCGUGAUGACGAGGCACUACGGUGCUGAAGCAACAAAUGCCCUGCUUCCAGGAAAAGCCUCUAAGCAUCAGGUAACAUCAAAUCGUACCCCAAACCGACACAGGUGGUCAGGUAGAGAAUACCAAGGCGCUUGAGAGAACUCGGGUGAAGGAACUAGGCAAAAUGGUGCCGUAACUUCGGGAGAAGGCACGCUGACACGUAGGUGAAGUGAUUUACUCAUGGAGCUGAAGUCAGUCGAAGAUACCAGCUGGCUGCAACUGUUUAUUAAAAACACAGCACUGUGCAAACACGAAAGUGGACGUAUACGGUGUGACGCCUGCCCGGUGCCGGAAGGUUAAUUGAUGGGGUCAGCGCAAGCGAAGCUCCUGAUCGAAGCCCCGGUAAACGGCGGCCGUAACUAUAACGGUCCUAAGGUAGCGAAAUUCCUUGUCGGGUAAGUUCCGACCUGCACGAAUGGCGUAAUGAUGGCCAGGCUGUCUCCACCCGAGACUCAGUGAAAUUGAACUCGCUGUGAAGAUGCAGUGUACCCGCGGCAAGACGGAAAGACCCCGUGAACCUUUACUAUAGCUUGACACUGAACAUUGAGCCUUGAUGUGUAGGAUAGGUGGGAGGCUUUGAAGUGUGGACGCCAGUCUGCAUGGAGCCGACCUUGAAAUACCACCCUUUAAUGUUUGAUGUUCUAACGUGGACCCGUAAUCCGGGUUGCGGACAGUGUCUGGUGGGUAGUUUGACUGGGGCGGUCUCCUCCUAAAGAGUAACGGAGGAGCACGAAGGUUGGCUAAUCCUGGUCGGACAUCAGGAGGUUAGUGCAAUGGCAUAAGCCAGCUUGACUGCGAGCGUGACGGCGCGAGCAGGUGCGAAAGCAGGUCAUAGUGAUCCGGUGGUUCUGAAUGGAAGGGCCAUCGCUCAACGGAUAAAAGGUACUCCGGGGAUAACAGGCUGAUACCGCCCAAGAGUUCAUAUCGACGGCGGUGUUUGGCACCUCGAUGUCGGCUCAUCACAUCCUGGGGCUGAAGUAGGUCCCAAGGGUAUGGCUGUUCGCCAUUUAAAGUGGUACGCGAGCUGGGUUUAGAACGUCGUGAGACAGUUCGGUCCCUAUCUGCCGUGGGCGCUGGAGAACUGAGGGGGGCUGCUCCUAGUACGAGAGGACCGGAGUGGACGCAUCACUGGUGUUCGGGUUGUCAUGCCAAUGGCACUGCCCGGUAGCUAAAUGCGGAAGAGAUAAGUGCUGAAAGCAUCUAAGCACGAAACUUGCCCCGAGAUGAGUUCUCCCUGAGACUUAGAGUCUCCUGAAGGAACGUUGAAGACGACGACGUUGAUAGGCCGGGUGUGUAAGCGCAGCGAUGCGUUGAGCUAACCGGUACUAAUGAACCGUGAGGCUUAACCUUACAACGCCGAAG